GUGUCAGCAGCCGCGGUAAGACGGAGGGUGCAAGCGUUGUUCGGAAUUACUAGGCGUAAAGAGCGUGUAGGUGGUUAGCUAAGUCGGAUGUGAAAAUUCCGAGCUCAACUCGGAACCUGCAUUCGAAACUGGUUAACUUGAGUGUGGGAGAGGAGAGUGGAAUUCCUAGUGUAGCGGUGAAAUGCGUAGAUAUUAGGAAGAACACCAGUGGCGAAGGCGACUCUCUGGCCUAAAACUGACACUGAGACGCGAAAGCGUGGGGAGCGAACAGGAUUAGAUACCCUGGUAGUCCACGCUGUAAACGAUGGGCAUUAGGUGUAGGAGGUAUCCAAUCCUUCUGUGCCGAAGCUAACGCAUUAAAUGCCCCGCCUGGGGAGUACGGUCGCAAGGCUGAAACUUAAAUGAAUUGACGGGG
This 415-nucleotide ribosomal RNA is filed under the name uncultured prokaryote. RNAcentral describes it as "bacterial SSU rRNA". It matches the Rfam family "Bacterial small subunit ribosomal RNA", at positions 505 to 918 of the family's 1533-position model. The record is from RNAcentral.